CCAGACUCCUACGGGAGGCAGCAGUGAGGAAUAUUGGUCAAUGGACGGAAGUCUGAACCAGCCAAGUAGCGUGCAGGAUGACGGCCCUAUGGGUUGUAAACUGCUUUUGUAUGGGGAUAAAGUCAAUCACGUGUGAUUGUUUGCAGGUACCAUACGAAUAAGGACCGGCUAAUUCCGUGCCAGCAGCCGCGGUAAUACGGAAGGUCCAGGCGUUAUCCGGAUUUAUUGGGUUUAAAGGGUGCGUAGGCCGGAGAUUAAGUGUGUUGUGAAAUGUAGACGCUCAACGUCUGACUUGCAGCGCAUACUGGUUUCCUUGAGUACGCACAACGUUGGCGGAAUUCGUGGUGUAGCGGUGAAAUGCUUAGAUAUCACGAAGAACUCCGAUUGCGAAGGCAGCUUACGGGAGCGCAACUGACGCUUAAGCUCGAAGGUGCGGGUAUCAAACAGGAUUAGAUACCCUGGUAGUCCGCACAGUAAACGAUGGAUGCCCGCUGUUGGUACCUGGUAUCAGCGGCUAAGCGAAAGCAUUAAGCAUCCCACCUGGGGAGUACGCCGGCAACGGUGAAACUCAAAGGAAUUGACGGGGGCCCGCACAAGCGGAGGAACAUGUGGUUUAAUUCGAUGAUACGCGAGGAACCUUACCCGGGAUUGAAAUGUAGAUGACCGCUCCUGAAAGGGAGUUUUCCUUCGGGACAUCUAUGUAGGUGCUGCAUGGUUGUCGUCAGCUCGUGCCGUGAGGUGUCGGCUUAAGUGCCAUAACGAGCGCAACCCCUGUCUACGGUUGCCAUCAGGUAAUGCUGGGAACUCCGUAGAGACUGCCGUCGUAAGGCGUGAGGAAGGUGGGGAUGACGUCAAAUCAGCACGGCCCUUACAUCCGGGGCGACACACGUGUUACAAUGGUAAGGACAAAGGGCAGCUACCUGGCGACAGGAUGCGAAUCUCUAAACCUUAUCACAGUUCGGAUCGGAGUCUGCAACUCGACUCCGUGAAGCUGGAUUCGCUAGUAAUCGCGCAUCAGCCAUGGCGCGGUGAAUACGUUCCCGGGCCUUGUACACACCGCCCGUCAAGCCAUGGGAGUCUGGAGUACCUAAAGUCCGUAACCGCAAGGGUCGGCCUAGGGUAAUACAGGUGACUGGGGCUAAGUCGUAACAAGGUAGCCGUACCGGAAGGUGCGGCUGGAACACCUCCUUUCUG
RNAcentral lists this ribosomal RNA (1194 nucleotides) under Rothia sp. (in: high G+C Gram-positive bacteria). RNAcentral's name for it is "bacterial SSU rRNA". It matches the Rfam family "Bacterial small subunit ribosomal RNA", at positions 331 to 1533 of the family's 1533-position model. Lineage: Bacteria; Bacillati; Actinomycetota; Actinomycetes; Micrococcales; Micrococcaceae. The record is from RNAcentral.